This 550-nucleotide unclassified non-coding RNA is filed under the name Hevea brasiliensis (rubber tree). The record is from RNAcentral. Lineage: Eukaryota; Viridiplantae; Streptophyta; Magnoliopsida; Malpighiales; Euphorbiaceae.
UGAUGUAUAAAUACACACUCAAUCAAUUGGGAUCAAGUGUAUAAAUACACACCGCCGUUUCCCGCUUGACUGAUCCAUAGUCCGCUGGUUAUACGUUAAUCCAUAGCCAGCGGGUUAUUGAUCUCAGAUGCCGAACANNUGCUCUUCAAAACACUCGCAGAUCCGACCCGCCGGGCGAUCUUCGAGCGCUUGUGCCGCGGAGGAGAGCAGACUGUCGGGGCGCUGACGGCGCAGGCCGGGGGCUCGCAGCCGGGCCGGCCGUCUCGAAGCAUCUCGGCGUUCUCAAGCAGGCCGGGCUGGUGAGCGACCGGCAUGAGGGACGGCAAACCCAUUACAGAGCGCAGCUCGGCGCCUUGGCGCCCCUGAUCGACUGGACAAGCCAGAUGGCCGGCUUCUGGGAAAGCCGGUUCGACGACCUCGAAAAUUUGCUGAGAAGGAUGGACCAAUGAGCACCACCAUGACCGAAACGCGUUCUGUCGUUGUGGAAAGAGACUUCUCUUUUCCGCCGGAAAAGCUCUGGCGCGCGCUGACGCAACCGCACCUGAUCGAG